CAGCAGCCGCGGUAACACGAGGGGGGCAAGCGUUGUUCGGAAUUAUUGGGCGUAAAGGGUGCGUAGGCGGUUUGGCAAGUUUGGUGUGAAAUCUUCGGGCUCAACUCGAAGUCUGCAUCGAAAACUGCCGGGCUUGAGUAUGGGAGAGGUGAGUGGAAUUUCCGGUGUAGCGGUGAAAUGCGUAGAUAUCGGAAGGAACACCUGUGGCGAAAGCGGCUCACUGGACCAUAACUGACGCUGAUGCACGAAAGCUAGGGGAGCAAACAGGAUUAGAGACCCGUGUAGUCCCUGUCUCUUAUAU
RNAcentral lists this ribosomal RNA (301 nucleotides) under uncultured bacterium. RNAcentral describes it as "partial 16S ribosomal RNA". It matches the Rfam family "Bacterial small subunit ribosomal RNA", at positions 509 to 809 of the family's 1533-position model. The record is from RNAcentral.